This is a long non-coding RNA of Corticium candelabrum, 392 nucleotides long. RefSeq lists it as uncharacterized. The record is from RefSeq and is a predicted model, not a curated record. The transcript has 3 exons. NCBI's taxonomy places the organism in Eukaryota, Metazoa, Porifera, Homoscleromorpha, Homosclerophorida, Plakinidae.
ACGUUGCUUAAGCUUGCAGAGGCAAGGGAUGAUGUAGCCACAGGUGUUCGCUCUGCAUCAAGCUACAAAACUGGAAAUCUUCAUGACCUUGGUGGUCUUUUUGCAGUAACAGGGGAGCAGACCAGUGUGCAGCAGUGACUGGAGGAGGUUCAGCUGUCUGAUUUCUACAAAUUGCUUUGUGAUGCAGGGAUACAGGAUCUGGAAGCGCUUUCACAUGUGAAUAGGGACGAACUAGAAAGAACAGGGAUGAAGAAGGAUAACAUAAGCAGACUACUGACUGCAAGCAACAUGUUGAAAUCGGCGUUCUACAAGUGCAUCACGUCCAAGGGGUUCACUAUAUACAGCUGAACGUGGCUAUGUCAAAAAGAGUAAAGACACUUGAAGAUUUCAUG